Molecule: long non-coding RNA, 520 nt
Organism: Cannabis sativa
Lineage: Eukaryota; Viridiplantae; Streptophyta; Magnoliopsida; Rosales; Cannabaceae
Exons: 3
Source: RefSeq, a predicted model, not a curated record
UUGGCCUUAGGGGCAAAAUGGUCAUUUGACCUUUAUUUUCUAUACUUGGUAAAAGCUGAUUUUUUUUAGAGAAGUAAAUGAAUUUCUGGUUUUUGUAUCCCUCACACCCGACCCCUCUCUCUCUCUCUAACCCUUUCUUUUAGAAAUCUUGAUUUUGAGAAAAAAGGGCUUGAUUUGGUGUAGCUUUGUGGAUGUUCUUGCUUGGGAAGAACUUGAGGAACUUGUGGAUUGCCGGCACCUGGUCAGGAGCACCCGGGGAUUUGGAAUCUCUACUAUUGCGGGACAACAGGAAAGGGUAAGGCAUUAGCUGAUCAGCCAUGAGUUUCAGGAGCAGGGCGAAGAAUGUACAUGUUCAUGCCACUUCAGACCAAGCGGGUUAUGGGUCUAACAGUGUUGACUUUUGUAUUCUGUUUUGCCGCUUAGGUCGGCUAGUAAGAAAGAACUUGUAAUAAUUUUGUAAAUAUUUUUGGGAUCCCAACUAUGUUUGAAAAAGUUUAAAUAUAUUACAAGUUUAUUUUCA